GGUUGAUGGCGCUGAGGAACGGCUCUGCCUUGUGUAGCCCUGCUGUGGCUGGUUCAGCAUGACAAGAAGCAGCUUUGGCAAACUUCAGCUGCCUGGGAUAAAUUCAACUCCCCGAACUACCCAUGAAGUGAGGUACAGCCUUUGUAUAACCCAGACCGUAAAUGUUAUGUCCUCCCAUUAUGAAUCUCCACUGAAAAAACAUAAAUGCAUAAAAUGCCAACACGAGUUACUGUUUUAUCUCCAAGGCUUCAUCUAAGCUGAAGAAAGGGGGUAGUAACAGCAAAUGACCCUCCUCCACCCUGCCAGCCAUCAGUACCUGCUCCCUGGGAAUUCACUGGAGCUCCACCAGGCCCUGAAACGUGAAACCUUUGACCAAAAAUCUUUCAGACUUGGGUUCGACCACCUGACUAGCCAAGCCCCUCUCUCCUAAGCAUGUGGGGAGGACAGGGAAAUGCAUGAGAUGUGAAGUGAGAUGCUGCUUCACUGAAAGUUAAUCAGGUUGUUUUGAAAAGUUGCCUGACUUUCAGAGUCGGGUAUGUAUGAAUGAUGAGGUAGGGCCUCGCUCAAUAGAAUAUGACAAUUUAUGGGAGGAAGAAUCAGGGUUCACGAGGUUUUGGCUUUAGAGAAGGACUUAAUUCUGUUAAUUUAUCAUGCAGUGCACAAGGUUGGGAGAGGCUGUGAGUACAGAGAAGGGUCAGAUACAGAGUGAUUGCAGGGAAUUUCAUUCAGAAGAAACAGAACAAUGCAGAGUACAAACUCAUGUUCUGAAGGAAUUUUUAAGCUGGAAGUUCCUUGGCUGAAGACUUGAGGAAGAAAGGCUGG
Molecule: long non-coding RNA, 822 nt
Organism: Athene cunicularia (burrowing owl)
Lineage: Eukaryota; Metazoa; Chordata; Aves; Strigiformes; Strigidae
Exons: 3
Source: RefSeq, a predicted model, not a curated record